Molecule: unclassified non-coding RNA, 279 nt
Filed under: rhizosphere metagenome
Description: partial ribosomal RNA internal transcribed spacer region
Source: RNAcentral
GUAGGUGAACCUGCGGAAGGAUCAUUAAAUAAUUUAGAUGGCCUCCUAGAACUUGUUCUAGUUAGGUUCAUUCUUUUUUACUGUGAACUGUUUUAAUUUUCAGCGUUUGAGGAAUGUCUUUUAGUCAUAGGGAUAGACUAUUAGAAUGUUAACCGAGCUGAAGUCAGGUUUAGACCUGGUAUCCUAUUAAUUAUUUACCAAAAGAAUUCAGUAUUAUUAUUGUAACAUAAGCGUAAAAAACUUAUAAAACAACUUUUAACAACGGAUCUCUUGGUUCUC